This 972-nucleotide long non-coding RNA is filed under the name Numida meleagris (helmeted guineafowl). Its description in RNAcentral is "lncRNA (ENSNMEG00000005852.1)". Lineage: Eukaryota; Metazoa; Chordata; Aves; Galliformes; Numididae. The record is from RNAcentral.
CGGACCGCAAGCGUCAAGCAUCAAUGCAACCUGAAACCCACCCUCUGAUAUUUAUCCAGUAUUUAUUUCUGCCUUUAGCAUUCAAGUGAUGCAGUAGAUAAUUCAGAAGAAUAUAUGAUCAAAUGCAGCUUUUGAGCUGGGAGGACAGGCAGUGAUAGCAGCUCCUCUGCUGAAAUAACCUUUCGUGAUUUCUUUCCCAGGCUGUUGUCUGCCUUUUCCUUUAGUUCUCCCUUUAAUUUGACUCUGAGCUAUAAAAUACCAACCUCAUUUGCUUUACACUUGUACAGAAAUCCUCAUCUUCAAAGUGUUACAGAAACAUUAAUUAAUCCAUUCUUGCUAUGUGACAGAGCGCAGGAGUGUCCUGGCCCUGACUGAGAGACAAGAGAAUUAAAACUGCAGGAAUGGACUCCUUGGUCCCAGGAGCCCGGAACCACUGUGACAAUUUGCACCCCAUAAACAUGCCAACCACUGGGAAUUUUGUUUUCCAGCACCCAGCUUGCCUUGGAUAGUGGACAGAGGCCCUCUGGCACCAUCAGCAUCCCAUCCUGCCUGCAGAAAGCUCUCCAUCCUCUGUGGCGCUCUCCGUCAGGAAAGUACUUGCACUUUCCAGACAGUGAUGCAGGAAAGGAUGUCACCAACAUCGUGCUUCUGACACACACCCCUGUAACGUGCCGAUACCAGACAACAGUGCUCUGUCAGAACCAAAUCCCCAUUAGGACAGCAGCGAUCUUCCCGAGGCCGCCCCAUCUCGUUUGCAGUGCGUGCUGCCAGGCGGCCGUCACGCUGAGGAGCCCCGGGAUGCUGGUGCUGUGCUGGCCGUGCUCCCACGCAUCAGAGCAGGAGGAUUUGAUGUGGCAUCCUAACAGCCCACAGGAACGUGUGUCAGCAGGAUUUGUGAAAGUGUCAGGUAGGAAAGGGGGGGGGGGCAACGAGACCGGGAGCCCAAGGGGCGUGUGAAGAGUGCAAGGAAGC